UUUGGGUUCUAGGGGUAUUUUUGAAAGAAAAAUCAGAAAAUGGGGGUCAAAACAUAAUUUUAAAAAGUUGUGCCGCGUAGAUACCCAGUCAGCAGCCCCAACGGACCAGAAUGUGUCAUGUGGCAAAGGACGCUAGUGCGGUGCCACGCAGCAAUCCGUGUGCCCGCGAUUGGAUGACCCAGAUCUGCUCCCAUGCACACGGACGGCUCGGAUAUGUUCCCUUCCCAGACGCGAUCGGAUGGUCAGAUUUAAACACAGUCAACGGU
RNAcentral lists this long non-coding RNA (266 nucleotides) under Carica papaya (papaya). RNAcentral describes it as "long non-coding RNA (CPAP_LNC001562)". The record is from RNAcentral. Lineage: Eukaryota; Viridiplantae; Streptophyta; Magnoliopsida; Brassicales; Caricaceae.